Molecule: ribosomal RNA, 492 nt
Filed under: uncultured bacterium
Lineage: Bacteria
Description: partial 16S ribosomal RNA
Rfam family: Bacterial small subunit ribosomal RNA
Source: RNAcentral
AGUGAACGCUGGCGGUAGGCCUAACACAUGCAAGUCGAACGGCAGCACAGUAAGAGCUUGCUCUUACGGGUGGCGAGUGGCGGACGGGUGAGGAAUACAUCGGAAUCUACUUUUUCGUGGGGGAUAACGUAGGGAAACUUACGCUAAUACCGCAUACGACCUACGGGUGAAAGCAGGGGAUCUUCGGACCUUGCGCGAUUGAAUGAGCCGAUGUCGGAUUAGCUAGUUGGCGGGGUAAAGGCCCACCAAGGCGACGAUCCGUAGCUGGUCUGAGAGGAUGAUCAGCCACACUGGAACUGAGACACGGUCCAGACUCCUACGGGAGGCAGCAGUGGGGAAUAUUGAACAAUGGGCGCAAGCCUGAUCCAGCCAUGCCGCGUGGGUGAAGAAGGCCUUCGGGUUGUAAAGCCCUUUUGUUGGGAAAGAAAAGCAGCAGGUUAAUACCCCGCUGUUCUGACGGUACCCAAAGAAUAAGCACCGGCUAACUUCGUG